This 253-nucleotide ribosomal RNA is filed under the name uncultured bacterium. RNAcentral's name for it is "partial 16S ribosomal RNA". It matches the Rfam family "Bacterial small subunit ribosomal RNA", at positions 524 to 776 of the family's 1533-position model. The record is from RNAcentral.
UACGAAGGGGGCUAGCGUUGUUCGGAAUUACUGGGCGUAAAGGGCGCGUAGGCGGUUUGUCAAGUCAGGCGUGAAAGCCCCGGGCUCAACCUGGGAACUGCGCUUGAGACUGGCAGGCUCGAGUUCGGGAGAGGAUGGUGGAAUUCCCAGUGUAGAGGUGAAAUUCGUAGAUAUUGGGUGGAACACCGGUGGCGAAAGCGGCUCACUGGCUCGGUUCUGACGCUGAGGCGCGAAAGCGUGGGGAGCAAACAGG